GCGUCCUUGGUGUAGCGGUUACACGCAUCCUAUUUGUUCUCGGGUCACAUACAAUCUUUAGGAUGAGUCCGGGGUUCGACUCCCUGAAGACGCA
Mycena galopus ATCC 62051 is the source of this 94-nucleotide non-coding RNA. The record is from the annotation of a GenBank genome assembly. NCBI's taxonomy places the organism in Eukaryota, Fungi, Basidiomycota, Agaricomycetes, Agaricales, Mycenaceae.